UACGAAGGGGGCUAGCGUUGCUCGGAAUCACUGGGCGUAAAGGGUGCGUAGGCGGGUCUUUAAGUCAGGGGUGAAAUCCUGGAGCCCAACUCCAGAACUGCCUUUGAUACUGAAGAUCUUGAGUUCGGGAGAGGUGAGUGGAACUGCGAGUGUAGAGGUGAAAUUCGUAGAUAUUCGCAAGAACACCAGUGGCGAAGGCGGCUCACUGGCCCGAUACUGACGCUGAGGCACGAAAGCGUGGGAAGCAAACAGGA
Molecule: ribosomal RNA, 254 nt
Filed under: uncultured bacterium
Lineage: Bacteria
Description: partial 16S ribosomal RNA
Rfam family: Bacterial small subunit ribosomal RNA
Source: RNAcentral